This 800-nucleotide ribosomal RNA is filed under the name Oceanibaculum sp. Its description in RNAcentral is "bacterial SSU rRNA". It matches the Rfam family "Bacterial small subunit ribosomal RNA", at positions 67 to 913 of the family's 1533-position model. Lineage: Bacteria; Pseudomonadati; Pseudomonadota; Alphaproteobacteria; Rhodospirillales; Oceanibaculaceae. The record is from RNAcentral.
CGAUCUCUUCGGAGAUAGUGGCGGACGGGUGAGUAACGCGUGGGAACCUGCCCCGAGGUACGGAAUAACUCAUGGAAACGUGAGCUAAUACCGUAUGUGACCUGAGGGUGAAAGAUUUAUCGCCUUGGGAGGGGCCCGCGUCGGAUUAGGUAGUUGGUGGGGUAACGGCCUACCAAGCCUGCGAUCCGUAGCUGGUCUGAGAGGAUGAUCAGCCACACUGGAACUUAGACACGGUCCAGACUCCUACGGGAGGCAGCAGUGGGGAAUAUUGGACAAUGGGGGCAACCCUGAUCCAGCAAUGCCGCGUGCGUGAUGAAGGCCUUAGGGUUGUAAAGCGCUUUCGGCGGGGAAGAUGAUGACGGUACCCGCAGAAGAAGCCCCGGCUAACUCCGUGCCAGCAGCCGCGGUAAUACGGAGGGGGCUAGCGUUGUUCGGAAUUACUGGGCGUAAAGGGCGCGUAGGCGGCGAUUUAAGUUAGGCGUGAAAGCCCCGGGCUUAACCUGGGAACUGCGCUUGAUACUGGAUUGCUUGAGGACGGGAGAGGGUAGUGGAAUUCCCAGUGUAGAGGUGAAAUUCGUAGAUAUUGGGAAGAACACCAGUGGCGAAGGCGACUGCCUGGCCCGUUACUGACGCUGAGGCGCGAAAGCGUGGGGAGCAAACAGGAUUAGAUACCCUGGUAGUCCACGCCGUACACGAUGAGUGCUAGACGUUGGGGAACAUGGUUUCUCGGUGUCGCAGCUAACGCAUUAAGCACUCCGCCUGGGGAGUACGGCCGCAAGGUUAAAACUCAAAGGAAUUGA